AUGACUUUUAUGAAUUUGAUUAGAGUACAAGGAAUCAUCACAGAGACAGCAGAAAGAGAAAUGAUACAUUUAAUACAGAAAAAAAUAGAAACUAUAAUUCAUGAGGAAGAAGAUUCACUUACAAUAAAAUACACCCUUCUUUCAAGUCAGUUACGAAUUCCCAUUUUAAAGUCUUCAUGGCAUAUGAAUUUUAUCUCUCCCCAAUAA
This is a non-coding RNA of Vicia faba (fava bean), 207 nucleotides long. The record is from the annotation of a GenBank genome assembly. Lineage: Eukaryota; Viridiplantae; Streptophyta; Magnoliopsida; Fabales; Fabaceae.